Molecule: long non-coding RNA, 142 nt
Organism: Arachis duranensis
Lineage: Eukaryota; Viridiplantae; Streptophyta; Magnoliopsida; Fabales; Fabaceae
Exons: 3
Source: RefSeq, a predicted model, not a curated record
CUUUGGGGUCCCUGUCUUCUCCUAUAAGGAUCUCCUAUAAUGCAAAAUAAAAGAUAAAAUGUUGGGAGUAUCAAGUUGGCCCUUGUGUAGUUAUUGAAGCCGCUGAUCAUAUUUGGUGCUCAAGGUACAUCCUUGAGAUAAU